Molecule: non-coding RNA, 17069 nt
Organism: Sus scrofa (pig)
Lineage: Eukaryota; Metazoa; Chordata; Mammalia; Artiodactyla; Suidae
Source: RefSeq, a predicted model, not a curated record
GUUGGAUUUUCUUCAGGCAGAUCCUGAAGAGGACGGUCUGUCAAUUCUCAGUAAAAGUAUGAUCAUGAAACAAUUUGCUUAACCCAAUUUCCCCAAACCUAUGUAUUUUGUGGCUGUCAUGGCAAAGACUAUCAGAUUCCGUGUGAUAGGCUUCAGUGAAAUGAAACAUAACAACACCUCUCUUCCAUGCUCUGCAAAGAAGGUGUGCUGUUGUUUCCUGAAGCCUGCACACACGAUAACUGCCUUGUUUACCUAAGACCUGAUCAACCUAAUUACUGAGAUGGAAGCAAACAUAUCAUCCAUUCCUCUCCUCCAGCCCAUUUGAAUACAUUAUCCAUUUAUUUGGUGUUUGGCUCAGGUUUAAAUGAGUCAUUUAAUAACCCCUGUUCACAGCAAGUUAAGUUGCAACCAGCUGGCAGCCACAACUCACAGGGUUGUUAACCGUUCCAACCAGGAUCAGACCCCGAGCUCCAGCCUUCCUGAAGGGCAUGAGGCAGCUUUGCUCCAGCUAUCGUAGCAGGAGUUUCAAGCAAAUCUAUGCCUUAGAAUGUAAAAUACUAAGACUGAGCGCUAAGAUAAACUAUGGACCUUGGGUGAUUAUGAUGUGCCAAUAUAAAUUCAUUCUUGGUGAAAAAUGUUCUGAAGCAUUGCUGGGUAAAAGUCAAGGACAUCUUCUGGACUAAAAGAAAAGCCUUCCUUGUGGAACUAAUGACAUGACCGAAUUACACACGGAGUUAAGUGAUGGGAAAUAUUUCUCAAAGACUGACUUUAUGAAACUGCUAAUAAGUUGAUGUCUGUUUUCCAUUAAUGACCUGAAAAACAAGAAAAGCCUGUGGCAUUUCAAACAAAACUGUGUAAAUUACAGUAUUUCUGCUAUUUAAUGCAAAAGAGAAUUCCUUUUGGUUAUCACAUAUCUGUGAUUAAAAUAGGUUCUGAUCCUUUUUGAAGUGUGCAAAAUAUUUUUAGAAUUAUUUGCUGGGCAUUCUUUUGAAACUAAGAAAUGGGCUAAUAUACUGCAAUUAUUUAAGGCAGAUCACGAAGAAUAUAUUGUACAGGUAGAGAAAUUAAUUCUUAGCCUUGUUCCUCAUUUUAAGCUAGUCAUGCUAGUCUCUCUCUCUCUUUCUUUUUUUUUUAAUUUUUCAGUGGUUUUUAUUUUUAUUUUUUAAAUUUUUAAAUGAUUUUCAUUUUUUUCCAUUAUAGUUGGUUUACAGUGUUCUGUAAAUUUAAUGGAGAUAAGAUGUGUGGUAUUGUCCUAUAAGCUGAUUAAUAUUAUUGUUUGAUUAUCAUAGUGAUCGUGGUAUUACUUUAUAAAUACUAUUGUUUGACAUUGGAAAAAAUGUGGGCUGGGUUUUUAAUAUCAAUGACAUUUCUACCACUACACAUGCGUUUUCCUAUAUCCGUGGUUUCAAUAUAAGUGGUGUGUAAAUGCAAGAAUAAAAGAUGAUGUCGGGUUUGCAGGAGAUAGAAUUAAACUUGCCCGUGACUGGGGUGGGAAUGCAGCCCAGUUCUCUGCGGCAUGGCUUGCCACUCUGGGAAGCUCCAUCAUGGGAUUAGAGUGCUUUUUCGAUCUGUCCGAUGAGGGACUUUUAACUCACAGUGUCUAGAUAUUGCAAUGCCUUCUUCUCGUCACGGUUGCUAAAAACACACAGCCUUUUGUCAGGCUACAGAAUGUUUUAAUUCCCAAUGCAAAUCUGGGUGACAUGUUUGUUACGCUAACGGAUAUACCUGACAGAUCCUAUUUUGAGCUUUCCAGGAAAAAACACACGGCAGCACGUUUGUGGGAUAGCAAUCCUUUUAUGUGAGCAUAGCACGGCUGUUAGUAAUUGGGGUAAACCAUUUCAAACCGGAGUUGAUUUGAUAUAAAAAUAACUUGCAAGUUGUGUUUGUAUAAUUCCUAGGGUAAGAUCAUUUUAGCAGAUCUAGCUGUUAGUUAUAAGAACAGUUUUAUGGUUUGCACAAAGCAGUAAAUAACAGUAAGGGCAGAUCAGAAUAAAGCUUUCAUCACACCUUUGUCAACCUUUAGAAAUAUAUGCAUUGAGUUUUUGGGUUACUUACUCAUAUGUACACAAAAUGUGUAAAGAAUUAUGGUGCAUGCAUUCAAAGUGCCUAUAAAAACAGAACAAUUAUAUACACAUGUUUCUGCAACCAUAAGUCAUAGGUAUUCAUGAAAGUAUGCUGAAUUGUAUUUAAUAUUCAGUGCAAAAAUAGAUAUUAAGAAAGUUUUACAUGAGAUUUGAACUUCAUUCUUUAUUUAUAAUGAGAUACUUUGCCUUUAGCCACCAAAACAGGUUCAAAUUCUGGUCACUUGGAUGUGAGGAAACCUACCUGGAAUGAACCAUUGGUCACAGUAUUUAAUAAUGUUAUGGUUCUGAUUGUGGACACAGUGUCUCCAGGUAUAAAGUUCUUUGGGCCCAAGAGCAGAUUAUAGAUCACAUUACUCUGUGUCCCAAGAUUAUCCAUUUCUGUUUUUAGAAUUAGAGGAAAGGAAAAUAUGAGUUGUAGCUGGUUUUGAAACUUCUUAUUAAUUUUACUUAGUACCACCCCAAAGAUUUUAAAAACGUAUUUCUCAACUACCAAGUAUUGGUAUUUGCAGGGUUUCAGCAGUUUCCUAACUUCCUUUCUUUUUCCCACCCAUUGAAUCUUUAGCAUGCUUUGCUUUCAUACUUAUGUAAUGCCUUUAUUUUGAAUUCAUCAUAUUCCAUUUGGUAUUUAUUAUCUGAGGCUAUCCCAUGUACUUAAAAGUAGAAAGAACUAGAAGUAUGAAACUAGGUAAAAAUGGAUUAAAAAUGAGCAUAUAUCCCUUUAAUUUUUUUCACUGAAAGCAAAAGAAACAUAUUUAGAGCACUUUAAUCUUAUUUGAAUAAACUAUUGUAUUGCUUUAAUUAAUAUAUUCAAGCUUCUUUACUCAGAAGCAAAACUGUGAUAAAGUAUUCAACUUUCGCUUGCAGCCCUGACUGUGGCAAGCUAAAAAGAGCUUAUUUUGUUUCAAUCUGCAGGACACCAACAUCUGUUUUCUUCUUAAUAUAGCUAGGAGAAAGACUAAGCACCUUGCCUUAGUGCUAUAGGAGAGAAUAUUCUGAUACUGGAAACGCUUAUUGAAAGAGGAUGGUGCAUUGACUUGGAAUUGAAACGCUCUGUUUUAUUUUGAAUAUUUUCACUAUCUUAUAAGAUAUUAAGAUCUAUUGAAUUAUCCUGUCAAAUCAUUUGCCAUUGUGAAGAUUUGGGGAAUCAUUGAAGAAAUUGCCUUUUGAGUUUUUUUUUUUUUUUUAAUCUUUCUUUCUGAUUAUAAAGUACCUGCUGGAGGGCUCGGGUAUAUCUAGGUUAAUGUGUUUCUAUUUCAGUACCCAAAAAACAAAUGUGAGAUCUUGGAAGGGUCAUAUCCGCAUCCCAGUUGACAAUAAUUGCAUAGCAGUGAGUACCUGUGAGGAAGGUGUAGGCUCCCAGGGAGAGCAAGGGAGUGGGGGAUGGGAGGCUUUAAACAAAAACUUUAACUGUAAAAGAAACAAUUGUCCUCUGGGGAAUUACUCAGAAUGCAAUACAUGUAUAUUUUUUAAUUAAAUAGAUGAGUUUAUGCCUUUGGCACUUAAAAGAAAGUCCUUAGAUUCAUAGCCUCCUGGGUUAGAGGUACUUCACAGGUUAAUUCUAUGGAAAUUAAAUCUGGCCCUAUUCCUUGCUGUUUUAUUCCCUUUUUUCCUAUUCCCAUUCCUCUUUCACCCCCACAUUAUUUUCUUCCCUCUCCUUAUGAUUUGUCCACUUCUCUCCCUUCCUCAACUCUUCCACCUAUUGAAAUGGGACCAGUCCAACAUCUCCCUCCAUCUUUGCCCCACAGUCAGAAUGAAUUACUGCAAGCCCUUGUCCCCCCCCACCCACCAUUUCAGCCUCUUUCAUAUGUACAGCCCCUUCACUUUCAGCCCCUUUCAUAUGUACAGCUCUUAACUGUCAGCCGUGAAUUAUGGCUGGUUGAUCACACAACCAUCCCUCUGACUACACUGUGAGUAUCUUGAAGGCAAGAGUGCCAUUUGAUUCCUUCUAUUCACCAACAUCAUAUGCUUUUGCACAGAGUAGGCGCUCAGCAGAGAUUGAACUUAGUGUUCCCAGUAAAUCCUUAUCAACAAAUAAACAAACUCUGUGAAAAAUCAUCUUCCUUUUUCUUUUUAAAUUCACAGCCUUCCUCUUUUACUUUUGACUUUUUACACUGGCCUCCCCACCUCCUGUUUGCUCCCUGAGACACCCCCUAAAGUGCCACUACAGAGAGAAGUGGAGACCCGAGUUUGGAGUGGGUCGGCUAUGUACACUGCAGGCACUGUGGAACUCAUGCAUCUCUAGAAGGGAGCUGAAGAGAGACCAGGACUGAGAAAGAAAUUGGAUUGUUCUAACAAGCAAUCAUUGAGAAAUCAUUUUAAGACUUUGACAAUAAUUUCCCAGCGGUUGGUUGUCUGGAAAAGGGAAACAAAAAAGAGAGAAAGAAAUAGUGUUUUAUACUGAAUACCAAAUAAUUCCAUAUGACAAUGCAAAUCAGGUUUGAAUGCCAGAAGCGUAGAAAUUAAAGCCCACUCAGCCAUUAGGUUGUCUGUCUUGAUCAAGAAGGCGUGGAGAGUCGUUCCCUCGGAAAAGCAAAGCGAAAGAAAUGUAGGAGAAGAAUUUGAAGGUGAGAGGCUUAAAAUAAGAACAUCCUGCAGUUUGUUCCAAAUGAAAGCCACUGCAAGUUGGUAGCGCAGUGCUUAUGUAUCACUAAAAUGAGAUAAAGUAAACAAAAUGUUAGAUCAGGUCCUGCCUUUUAAUACUGAGGAGAUCUUCUUAUGCAAAGAUUAAAAGAAGGAGGCAUUACAGUCCUAAAGAGAAUGGCUUUAUGAAAUGGAUCACUUGGAAGUGUGGUUCACUGUGUGUGACACAUUGGCAUACAUACAUAAAACAAAUUGCUCUGAGUAUUGUAACAUGCAAUUCCAAGGUCUCCUGCUUCUGGCUUGUGUUUUACAUAAGUGGUUUCUUUGUACCUUUACUGGUGGGAAUUCAUUUAUAACUUACCGUGGUGGACUUUCUAACUGUCCUUUUUGAUGAACUGCUUUUCUUGAAAAAAAAUUUUUUUUUCUUGAAAUUUCUGUGUCAUGAAAGUCUUCUUCAAAUGCUGCAUAUUAUAACAGAAAAUUGUAUCAGGGAAGAAAGCUGGAGUCAAGGUUAGAUAAAGAAAACACAACCUUUCUACUUCUUCCUCAUAUAUUUCUUAAACUUUUUGAUAAUGGGAACCAGCUUAUUUUAUCAUAUUGUGAAAUCUGGGGUCAAGAGAAAAUUUACUGAGAAAAGUAAAUGGAAGCAUUCAAUUUCUAAAAACAUAAUGCAGUUUAGUAAGAGAUGUACAUUGAUCAGAGAUUGAGAGUUUGGCAAGACAUCAAGGCCAAGUUCAGAGAACCCAGUCUGACAUUAACUGUUGGCCAUUUUUAAGGUGCAUAAGGAGUCAUAUGCCAGCAUUCCAAUCUUGCCACCAGGUGCAGGGGAGCUACUGGGGAAGAAAGAAUCGGAAUUGGAGUGCUUCUCUCCCCUCCCCUGGGCAUUAGGGGUAGAAGAUCUCAGCUUUUGCAAAUGACCCCAACAUUGUUUUCCUUCCACAGCUGAUUUUGUUUAUACCUCUGCUUUAGCUUAUCUCUGAGCAAGGUUGGUGGCUCUGCACCUGCCUCUCAGUAAAUCCGAGGGACUCAGCUGAAAUCAAGGAAGCUUUAACAUUAUGGUAGACACUUUAAUAGACCAACAAGGCAAUAUAACAUCUUUACAGAGAUUCAGAGUGAUUCACCUUACAUAAGUCCCAUAAACAAGCCAUUUGCUACCAGGGCUGCGUCAGAUAUCUAUGUACCUCAUCUGAGAGGGGCCAAUUCAAGUUUCCCUUCUUCCCUGAAGCUUUCCCUGUUUCAUGAAGACACUCUAUUUCAUGAAAUUUCUCCUUGUACUGAAAGACUAUUGUGAUGUAUUUGUUUUCUGCCAUGUGUAAUUCAUUACAAAUAACCACAUAUUCUUCAUGUAGAGGUUUGACCUGCAUUGCUAGGGCAAAUCUCCCAGCACUCACUUGCUUGACUGCAGAGAAGAGGCACACAUUCUUAGGUGUAAAAACCAAAAGCACAAUUCUUAGGCAUGCAGAUAUUUAUUGAGCACCUACUAUAAAAUACACCGUAAGUUAUGUGCUGGGCAUGCAAAAGUGGCUAAAAACUUUGAAGAGCUUAUAGUUUAGUAGAGAGAACAUGUUUAUAAAUAAAGAAAAUAACCUUCUAAUCAAUGCAGUAUAGCUAGAAAUACACCCAGUGCCAGGGUGGCCGAGAAACAAGCCUGAUGAUUUCUACCCUGGACUCAGGAAAUGGUGUCAGGAAGUCUCCCUGAAGAUUCUUAUUUCUAGAUUCACUCCAAAGAAUGACAAGAAAUGUUAGUUAUUUUUUUAAUUGCAUAAGUAAAGAAAAAGACAUUCAAUGUAGAGCAGUAGAAGUGUGCAACAACAUAUAUUUGCUUUUAGAAACUAAAUAGACUUCCGAGUUUCGGGAAUGUAAUUAUAGAGAAUGGCACUAAUGGGAGGGGAAAAAACUAGGAGAUAAAGCUGAACAAACAAGCUAGAAAUACAAUCAUGACAGGUCUUGCAUGUCACACCGGGGAAAGAGCAGAUUAGAUUUAGCAAAGUCACAAUGAGAGUAGCAAGGGAGGACCAUUGAUAGGGAGGAAGGAUGCAUGGGUAUAGGAACCUUAGACGUCCUGACACCAGGAACCACGUGGUAUCCAAGGAGGUGGACCUCCAGGACUCUGUGUAACUCCUGGAAGCCCUGUGCUGUGGGAGCAGAGGGCAGUGAUUGACAUGCAGAGUCAGGAUCUCAUGUCAUCAAGGGAAUGAAAAAUGAUCUACGAUAAACUAUGAUUAUCAAGCUGGGGAAGUGUGUAAUAGAGUUUAGAAUGACAUCAAACAUGGAGGAUUAGAAACAGUGUUUUUUUUGUGCUUUAAGAUGUGUUAUAAAUGUUUAUAAAUGUAUGAAUCUUCUUAUUCUCUGACCAGGCCACCUAUAUUAGGCAUUAUUUUAUCUAGGCUAUUUUUUCAUAUCGGUUUUAGGCUAGGUUUUACCUUUUAGAAGUUAAGUUCCUAACUGACAGAUGGCUCACCUCAUGCUCCCAUACAUGUCCGAGGCCAAUGCUGUGAGUCUUGGAUAAAACUUUUAUGGCUGUUUUCAGACUGCGGUCCAGCACGUCUAUCCUGCCUUCUGGUUCUUUGCGGACUCAUGUAUGGGACAUUUCAGGUCAAUUACUGGAAACUUCUGUGACUUAUUCUAUAAGGAAUAAAUCCAUUAGAUAUACUAGUUAGUUCCUGGGAUGCUAACUAAAGGAAGAUGAUAUGAUUUGGGGAAAGACAAGGAGUGUCAGUUUAGGACCUAGAGAACCUUGGGUGUCAAUGCCAACCACCAGUCACUAGUGGGAUGGCCUCAGCCCAGAGACAAUCUUCACAAGCCUCAGUUUCCCUUUGUGUAAACAAAGAUAAGACAAGAGAUGCAGAGACUCUGCAGCAUCCCUAUAAUUAGCAGAAAUUAUUUCUAUAAAACGCACAGUGUUCUAUUUAUCAUGAGGUAGGCUUUCAACAAACAGUAGCCAUUGGUAUUUUAAAGUCACAGUUAAAAACAUUUUUUUUUUAACUAAAAAGUACAUGACAUGAUUUUGAGAUGAAUAAUAUUGAAAGUUGUUCACCACAUAUGACCCUAGAAUCACUGUUAUUAUUUUCCUUUUCACUGCUGAAUUUUGAUACCAAGGGCACUUCGUCUUUGCCCCAGGUGAACUGUCCCCUACAAUGUUCUGAAAUAAGAUAACAUAGAAUGCAUUUUAACUUUUGGGGGGAAUUUUUAGAUGUUUGAUUACAACAAGCUUGAUGUAAAGUGAAGAAAAGAAAGAAAAAGAGAGAAAGAAAGAUGGAAAGAAAGAAAGAAAGAAGAAAGGAAGGAAAGAAAGAAAGCAAGCAAGAAAGAAAGAAAAAGGAAGGAAGGGAACUAGCCGAUCAGCAAUUUAAAAUAUGACGAUGGAAACUAACACAGUAGAUUUCUUAGAACACAGAGGAACUGACAGACUGAAGGUCUGCAAGGGAAGGAAUUGACUGUCAAAUCAGUUCUCAGAAUAUGCAUUCUGCCGCAGCAUACUUAUUCUGAACACAUUUCUUAUCUUUAUUUUUAUGUUACACUUAGUACAGAUUUGGAAUUUCACCCCUCACCAUCCCUCUCUUUUGUUCUAAUCCUCCAUUUUCCUGUAGGAACACAGGGCACUGUUUGUGAGCAAGAUUUGUCACUUUUUUCUGAUCUCUCAUCAGUAAAAAUGCAUUUUUAUGUCCGUAUUUCCUGAAGAGGUUUUUGUUUUUUGGGUUUUUUUUUUUUUUUUUUUGACAUUGAUGAUUAAGAAAUGGCAAUAUGACGCCUGGGCUUCUUUUUCCUGGUCAAAAAGAGCAAAGUACAUAUUAGUAGUGACUGCCUAUUUUAAAUCCUUUUUUCUUUGUCUGUCGAGCUGUCUGUAAUCAUCAGAGUGGAAAAUAACUUUGAAAGCUCAAGCUCAGGUAAAAAAAAAAAUAAAAAGGAGCUUUAGUGCCUCAAUAUGGCAAAAAGGACUGGCAGUCAGGAGAGCUGCUUUUUUUGAAACAUAAGUUUUUACCCAGUGCCUGCCACGUUCUGCAAAAUGCAUAACCACGUAGUGUAAAUCCCAGAUGGGUCUGCUUGACCUGCAGCUUUUCCUGUAAAUUUUGUCACUUGGGUAGCUAAGGAGAGAGGAGGUUGGUCUUUAAGAGAGAGAAAGGGGAAAGAAAGAGAAGUGAAGAGAGGAGAAAUUUACUCCGAACCCAAAAGUCUGAAAGGCAAACCAGCUUGUGGCCUAGGUUGGACUCAAUUUCAUGAACAACUCAGGUCUGUGGGCCUCAGCAAACAUGCCCUGCUUAUUUUGUGCCCGAAUAAUGGUGCUUCACGUUUGCCCGGGUUUGCUUCUCUUCAGUUUCCCUUCAAUGAUGUCCAUUCUGUCCUCUGUGCCAGACACUGAAAAUACCUUAAAAUGCUUUUCAGGCUUUGAAAACUUUGUUUUUUUUUUUUUUAAUGCGUUGAACUUAAUCUUUUCCAGCUUCUUUUCUGUUAAGGUUGUGUGGCGGUUUCGGUUAUUUUUCUUUCUCUUUCUUUUCUCCUGCCACUGCAUUUGUAGACACACUGUCUCGUUGUCUUUCAGAUGUGAUGUAUUAUGCAUGUUCUUUCUAGUGGAUUGGGGUGGGAAGUGCCACAAAGAGCUGGUGAGCUCUGAGAGGUCAUAUCGUCUGAGGAACGCCCACUGAUGACAAUGCUGACGGACCACAAUGGAUGGAUGGGAGGGGGUUGGCAGGGGUGGGAUUCAGGAAAGAACAUUCAUGGGGUUUUUUUGGUUUUUUUUUUCACUCAGGAGGCUGAAUGAAGAGCAAUCUUUCUGUUUGUUAAAGUGAUGGGUAAUUUGGAGCACUUCCCUUUGCAUGAAGAAAUUUGCUAUUCUAAUCAAAACCUCGUCCUUUUCUACAAACCAUUAUAAGAUACUUAUGAAAAUAGGCAGAUUCAGAUUUCCUGUUUGAAUUUUUGUCAGCUUUCACUUUUAUGCUCAUUUGCAGAAUCACAUAACUAUGAAAGGCCAAUUAGCUCUAAGUCCCCAGAAAGUGACAGAAUAAAUUGCUUUCUUCCUAGCAAACCAAGAAUAAUAUUGUGGGUGCAGUGCAAAUACGUCCACCCAGAGAUUUCUGUUCAUUUUAUCAAUCUAAUAGAGUGUUUCCGGCCUGUCUUCUGUGACUCAUACUUUCAGUAUACACAGUCCUGUUGGAACUCUCUGAUAUAAUACUUGUCUACUUCAUACUAAGAAAGAGGAUGAACUUGUAAAUGUGAGCAGUGCCUUGGUCAAGAUGCUUAGUGUAGACUAGAUCUAUCACUCCAGUCAAAAUUUAUUUACAUUAAAUCUGGGAGUACAUAGAAUUCUCUUUAGCAGGGAUGAUGUCACCAACUGAAUGUCCCUUAUUUUGGCAUGGUGGGCAUUUGAUUUUUUUUUUUUUUCCCCACAGAGAGUGGCUAGGAUACUGUCACUGUUAAUUGCAAUAGCUAUGCAAAUAUGAAAAUAGACCAUAACGCAAUUGCAAUUUUCAAUCAAGCCAUCUCAAAAGAGAUGCAGCUGAUGAUGGCUUUUCUGAGAUACUGCUCCUACUGGACACACAUGGGUGAAAGUUGCCUCCUUUUUCCAUAUUUCUAUCUGUGACUGCUCUCCUUUUCUUGAACACUUUCCUCCCAAGUAGCCCCGAGCAACUCUACCAUGGCAGGGGAGCUCACAGUACCCCAAGGGGGAGAAAUACAAAUCUCUACAAUGUAAGGGAACCACUGGGAAGGGGCUAUCAUAGCAGAUCUCAAAAAAGAUCACCCCCAGUCACUGACAGGUCUAGGAGUCAUGGUAAGUUUGACCACUGAAGAGGCAAGGCAUGUCUCUUGCUUCGCACUCCCUGGGUUUUCACUGCAGAAAACCUUUGUUGCUUAUUCAUCUUUGCCAGGAGUAUUAUUCUUGUUGCCUCACAAAGGGGGACAGAAUAACAAGGGACUUGAUUUGGAAUUAGUGCGAAAUUAUUUUGUUUACUUGAGUCCAUUAGCUCUUACUGAAAAACAGUGAAUUGCUAAUCAUUCCUUGCUCACCUGUCACACCCCCAUUGAUAUACAUUUAUUCUGUAUUGUAUUCAAUCAGAGAUGUUAUAUUGAGUAACAUUUAUUUACAAUAUACCCGGGUACUUAGGCUGCAACCCAAUUUUUUUGUUAUGCAGUCGUUCGGGACAAUGGAUACAGGCUACUUGAGGAGUUUUGUUCUGGAUUCCCAUAGAGUCACAUACAACAUUUAUAUUAAUACCCAAUGAGUUCCACAUGAUUAGUGUCAUGACAAUGAAUUCCAAAGGGAUUAAUGAGGAUUUGCUACUUGUAGGAGACUGUUGCCAUGCAGAGAGCUCCAUUGUACAGUUCCAGGGUGGCCUUAUUUUUGUCAGAACUUUUGGAUUAGAGAUAUUCAAUAAAAACAUCUGUAAACUGUUAUAAGAUUUACAUUCUUCCCCCUGUUAGAGAGGACAUUGCUAACUCUACUGCACUACUGGGGCUCAUUUAAUCUAGCAGUCAUUUCAGCAAGCACUUCAUAAAAAACAAUUAUUGAAUUAAUUGUGAUGUUUCCCGUCCAGUAUUCAUUUAUGAUAUCCUCUCCACCUGUAAACUCCUCUCCCAGCUGCCUUGUAAGAGGUAAAACUGGAUAAUUUCACAGCCUAUAAAAUAUUUGUUCUUUUUGCUAACAUAAAAUCUCUGACAAGAACUCUACUGGUGGAGAAUAGAGUUCUAUUGAAUUCUAGUGUCAUUUCGUCCUGCUCAAGGGGAAUAAAGCCCUGUCAACCUACCAGGAGAUAAGUUCAUUCAAACCCUGUGCCUCCCCUUCAGCUGUCCUUCCUUGAAAGGACUCCUUCACAUACCCUCCCACAGAAAUGCAAAAAAUUCACUGAAUGUUUUCUUCCUUGAGUUAUUUUUAACUACAGCAGAAAAGAAAAAAGAAUACUCUGAAGCUUGAACAUGUUUAUAAAAAGGAGAAAAGUGUUUAAUCUUCCCAAAUUCUCACACUUUUUUUUUGGACUGGAGGUUCUGAGUUACGUCUGAGUUAUAUGAGUUAUAUUUUUGUUUGGUUUGUUUGUGUUAUUUCCAGAAACUUCACAAGGUUGAGCUGGGUACCUUCAUUUCUAAAGUUUAUAUUUAAGUAAUUUCCUAAGAUGUGGUUUUGUGGGAUGAAGUAAAAGAACCACCAAAAUGGAGCAGUCAGGUAGAGCAGUUUUGGAGCUGACAUGCCUGAAACUGGAGCACAAUGAGUUGAGGGGCAAACAAAUAAGAAUCUUCGUUUGAGUUCUAUGCAGUGGGGAGACUUGAGCCACUAGAGCAUAGCAUUAAGCAGCUCAGUAUUUUCAUGUCUGAGUUUUUCUCUCUUACCUCCAGACCCACAGAACAAUCACACAUCAGUUACGUAGCUACAAUAAAAGUACCAGUUAUUCGACAGUUGAAGGUGUAGAUUAAGCAUCCACUGAUCGUAAAGGCCCACAGUACUUUUUUAACAGCAUGAGUUGAAUAUAAAUAACUUGUUCCAAUGUAGAGGCUGGUUCUGAAGCUAAACAACACAUACUUAUGGAGGUCUGAUGGGGGAAAGUGUGUAUAUUAAACACACACACACACACACACACACACACACACACACACGAAGUUCCACCUGAAUAGAAUUGCAUUUGUAUUUCAAAAAAAUCUGAGGUAAUCUAAUACAUUGAGUACCUUUUGAAAAAAAUUAGUUUACAUUAACUUGUGGAAAACAGAUGGCCUAGUGAACAGCAUCCUUCAGGAAAUAGGACCCAUUACAAUAAAGGAGCUGGGGUCACAUGUAUUUUGGCCAACAACAGUUAUUGAUUCUAGUUGUAAUCCACAGACACAAUUUUCCUGUGUUGUAGAGGGCUAUGCGGAGGCAAGAUGGUGGAUCCCUCACACCAUUCCUGAUGAUGUGCAAUUAAGUUGUGGGGGUGAUAGUACUGUUUUGUACCUUUGUUGUGGUCAUGAUUAUACCAGUCUCUACAGGUGCUAAAACACAUAAAAUUGUACACCAAAAGGAAUCAGUUUUGCUAUAUGGAAAUUAAAAUAGUAAUAAAAAGAGUUAUAGUUAAGUUACAGUUUAGAAUAGCUCUGUUGCAUGUCAUAGAAGAACAAGAAAAGGGACUUGAUUGAUGGAUUAAUGUAUUAUUGUAUUAAAGUAAAAGCUGAGAGAAAAAAACCUCAUGUAAUGAGAUAUGGUAGAAACAAUGAUUAUGUUUUCAAAAAAGACAUUAAAAAUGACUAAAAAUUGAAUGUGUAAAGUUAUUUGUAAGGCUGUCCUAUCAGCUUCUGAAGAAAGCUGACUCCCCUGCCAGGUAUUCAUACUUCUUAUAAUAUGUUCCCAACUCAUCUUUCAGGAUGCAUCUCCCUCUGUAGCCUCAGCAAUUCAGAAGUCUCAAAUUUAUGAACAUUGACUGUUUAUAACUCAUUUGGCAGCAAAAGCUGAUCUGAACUGACAUGAGGCUAUUUAUGUCUUUUAUGUAUAUUACUGUACACAAAUAUUUGCACGUUUGAUGUAGAAAUACUAUUGUAUUUGAUUCCUAGGUGCUGCUCAGAACCUAUGGGUGAGUUUUGGUAUAAGUAUGUGAACUGCAUUCCUUUUUUAAAAUCUGGAAAAUCCUGAAUUUCAAAUGUAUCUGACUCCAGAGAUUUUCAAUAAAGGAUUAAGGGCCAUUUUCCAUAGACUGUUCUGAACCAAACACAGUCCUUCCUAUCACUUCAGACAUGUUUCACAUGUUUAUGCUUCAGCACUUUUAGUGAUCUUACUACCUGGGGAGUCUGGAUGUACAUUUCUCUUAACUCAGCCAUGUGGGAGCCAAGUUGACAUGCCACUGCCUCCAAGAAGACCAUCUGAGCUGGGCUUGCCAACUCAUUUCUUUUCUAAUUCUAAACCUCUUAUAUCUUCUAGGUUGUAAUUUUCAUGGGAGCACAGGCUACUUUGAUGAGCAGGGCACUCUAUGUGGUUAUCAUUUCAGCAGGGUUUACACAAAAGAUGCAGCUUCGUGACUAGUGUUGGGAUCAAAAAAAUCUCCGGAGCAAUGAUUAAGAUCACAGACACCUGGGCAAAGAUAGAAGCCAAAGCUCUUGAUUCAAGUUUAGAAAGAAAAAGUAUUGAAUUUGAGCAGUUACCAUGGGGCAUGGUAGGAAUAGGUUGGCAUAAGCAUGGUAAAAACAUGGUAAAGUUACCAUGGGGCAUGGUAGUCUUACUUGUAAUAAGACUAGCUACCAGACAUUAACCACUGAUUAAGUACCAGAGUCUCUGAAGACACUUUUGUCAUUAUUUCAUUAAGUUCUCACAUAUUGAGUAGUUAUUAAUAACUUCAUUUUACAGGUGAGCCCUUGACUAAUGUAGUAUAAUUAUUAGAAGCAAAGCCAAGGUUUGAACUGUCUCUCUAAUAUCCUAGUGCUUGUUCAUAACUGCAGUACUGCUUCUUCCAAUGAGGCAAAGAUAAAUGGAAGUGGGAAAUUAGGCCCCUGUGGGAUAGAUCCUAGACUUAGGAACUUGGGACAGCAUCAGCAUGCGUCUGUCCUGUGGCUAACUCUGAUCUUCUAUUUAGCACUCCAGUUUUUCCUAAUAAGCUCUGAAGCUUUAUGCCUCUCAAUACCUUAAAGUUGUCCUGUCCAUUAGGAUGGGUUUUACACCCCUUACUGAGGCAGCAAAUACACCUAAGACUACUCUCUGUAUGAUACUGUAGAAAAUAGAGUGAGAAGAAAGAUUAAGCCACACACGGGAGAUCUAGUGGAGACAGAAUACUUCAAAGCUUUGAAAUUUUCUGUGAGUUUUCUUCAGGACUGACCUCUUUUGGGGUCCUUUAACCUGAGAGGGACCAUAUCACAUUCAUUCUUGUCCCCAACACUAAAUAAUGCAGUGUCUUGAAUAUACCAGGAGAUAAAUAUUUAUGGAAUGAAUUCCUGUUAGCUGAGAUUGGUGGAACUGGACAGCUCAGUAGCAACAUAUUGUUGUUGAAGCCCAUUUCACAACACGAGGCAGUUUCCUCAUGUUCUAAGUGUUGGAGAUUUCAGAAUAAAGUUUAGUUAUUUUAAACUAUUCAAAAAAGAACAAAUACAUCUUAUUUAUUUAUUUAUUUAUUUAUUCCAUUGGACCAAAUGUCGGAAACCAUGUUAAUUUCCCCCAGCAUUAUUUUAUGGUUUCUGUAAACUGGAGGAUUUUUGAUGUAUUGGAUCCAAUGGGAGAGCCUCCCAAUAGUGCCCAUAAAAGGCCAACAUUCCAUAUUUUUCUUAAUUCAGCCUUUCAUUCUGAAUCAUAUCUGUGCAAUCAGCAACUUUCACUCCAGGAAAGGAGAUUGUGGAUGAAUUAAUGAGAACAGACUUAGCAUAGGUUUCCCUCAACAAUUUAUAGCAAGUAAAUUAAAGUCACCUGUUGGUCUAGCACGUUAGUGUGGCUGGCUCUUUGCUCAAACCCUUCAGGAUUAGUUUAAGCUCAGAGGGAUAAGUAGGCAUAAAUAAAAAUGUGUUUUUCCAUCUUUCACUCUACAAAGUUGUAGAAAUAGCUGAGAGGUUUUUUUUUUUUUCUAUCAUAUUUGACUUUUACUAUUCUUGAGGAGCAAGAAAAAGUAAAACAUAAAUGAAUGUGAAACUCCACUGCUUUUGCUCUCUUACCAGUAGACAUAUUCAAACAUAGGCUGUUCCAUUAUUAAUCAGUAAAUGGACAAUGGAAAAUUUUUAUUAUGUAACCAUAUAUUUUUUUACUCAGUUUUUAAGACCCUGACUUUGAAUCUCAUCUGACUUCUACUCUAGAGGCCAGCUAGAGAAAAUUCCUGGGUUCUCACAUUGGUUUUAACAACAAAUGAGUGAAGACACUUUAGUCAUCUCCUAGAAGGGACUAAGGCAGUUGAUUCUCUCAGCCUGUCUUUUAAGCAUCGCAGGUUACAUCAAGGCUCUCAGUGUUGUCUGGAGUGAUUGGAUUUCUGGUCAGAGACAUGGAACCUCAUCAGUGGAAGUAUCUGGAAUUGCACCGUGGCCCAUCUUUCAAAAUGGAACUACUGAAUCAUAAAUACUUGGAACUCUUGUUAAAAGUACCAAUUUUAGGGCUUUAACCCACACCUACAGUGUCAAAAUCUCCAUGGUUAAGGCCGAUAAAUUUAAUUUUAAUAAAUUUUCUAGGUAAUUCUGAUAAACAUCCAAGUUUAGGAUCAAUUGCUAGUUUAGACCAUAUUCCAUUUUUUCUGCAGAUAUUUACUAAGUCUGCAUGGCUAAUGGUCAACCAAAGUAUGGUCAAGUAAUCUGUUUUUGGACAGAGAUGAUCUGUGUAAGUCUCUAGUCUGUUCAAGGAACUGGGUAUUUAAUAUUUAAAUAGAAUACACUCAAAUCCACAUCUUGCAUGACUUGAGAAACCUUGCAUCCCCCACAAUGUCCUUGAGGAUAAUGGAAGGAUUUAUAUUUAGCCCAGUCUUCUAACCUCAAAUUUCCUGCUUUUAGUCCAUCUCCAUUUCAACUCUGUAUUUCUUUUCUUCUCUCCAGGAAACCAUUAUUCUACAUCUUGUCACUCCACAGAGGCCACUAUCCAAAUCAUCAUUUUUCAAAUUACCACUGACAAGUCUCUGAGUUAAUUCUGUCACUUUUUUAUUUUGUAAUACUCCACUUCCCCCCAAAAUAAAUUUUUACCUUGCUAUGUAAAACAUUUUAAUUUUCUAAAUCCUCAGAGGAUGGCCAGUGACAAGUGUACUGGUUGUGCACUGCACAACACUGGCAGAUGCCAUUCACUGUAGAGUUUAUGGGAAUGGUGGCACUAGGUGUGGAGCCAUUCUCAACCUCUUUGGAUAUAUAUAUAUAUAUAUAUAUAUAUAUAUAUAUAUAUAUAUAUACCUUUCCAGUAGUUUGCCCAUACACCCACAAUUAUUGUAUUUCUCAUACCAUGAUUUUUAAGCCUUUAUCACACAUUCUGAUUUGUCUAUGUCCCAAGAAAGACUGUGGCUAUUCAGUUUACAGAAGAUCUGAUGGAAAUCUCUUCUGAAGACUUAAAACCACACUGCUGCUGCCAUCAUUUUUGCAAUUUUAUUAUAGCCUUUUUUUGCAUUGUGCCUGCUGACUAUUUUAUUAUUGUAGGACUCUGUUAUGGAGUAGGAUAUGAUGCUUAUCUUUUAGGAAACAUCUUGGAGGUGGGCUCUUACAAAGGAUGGAGGUAUAUAGAGCAUACAGGCAAUUGCCUUACAGUGAACAGGAUUAGAAGUUGGUGGGUGGAUCCAGCAGUGAAAAUAUAUUUUGGCUUUCUUGUCUCCUGCUCUGCCAAAGCCUGCCAUCCUUAGGAGACUGAAGUUCAAGGUAGAAUCUGAACAAAAGUCAAUUGGUGGAACUGGAGACAAAGUAGAACCAAUAUAACAAGAGAUUAACUGUUCUAAAUAUUUGAGACAUUUAACCUGCAUUUGCAAAUUCAUCCUGUCUAAGGACAUGGUUGGUUCUAGAAAUGAAUUAAAAAAAAUUUUU